AAGAACAACCACAAGACACAAUCGGUGGUGGUGACUUCCUAAGAAGAAGAUCAAUAUGAAGAUGAAGAAGUAAGCGAUACUUAUUCCUCUGAAGAAGAAUCUGAUGAUGAAAAACUAAGCUAUUCUUUUUCUUCUGAAGAACAAAAACACUUUGUAGAGAGAAAAAGAGGGAUACAAUCACCAAGAAAUAUCAACCUAAUCGAAAUAACAGAUUACCAACCACAAGAAGAUUUGCAAGAGGCCGGCGAACUGACGGAGAAAAAGACACAGGAAAAACAAAGACCGAAGGGGGCUUGGGCGACGGGACAUUGUUACUGAAUUCUCAUAUUCUGUUGGAAAAUGAAGCCAAAUACUCAUUCUGAAGAAGAAGAAAUAAGGAACAACCACAAGACACAAUCGGUGGUGGUGCCUUCCAAACAAGAAGAUCAAUAUGAAGAUGAAGAAGUAAGCGAUACUUAUUCCUCUGAAGAAGAAUCUGAGGAUGAAAAAGUAAGCUAUUCUUUUUCUUCUGAAGAACAAAAACACUUUGUAGAGAGAAAAAGUGGGAUACAAUUACCAAGAAAUAUCAACCUAAUCGAAAUAACCGAUUACCAACCACAAGAAGAUUUGCAAGAGGCCGGCGAACUGACUGAGAAAAAGACACUAGAAAAACAAAGACCGAAGGGGGCGUAGGCGACGGGACAUUGUUACUGAAUUCUCAUAUCCUGUUGGAAAAUGAAGUCAAAUACUCAUUCUGAAGAAGAAGAAAUAAAGAAGAACCACAAGACACAAUCGGUGGUGGUGCCUUCCAAAGAAGAAGAUCAAUAUGAAGAUGAAGAAGUAAACAAUACUUAUUCCUCUGAAGAAGAAUCUGAUGAUGAAAAAGUGAGCUAUUCUUUUUCUUCUAAAGAACAAAAACACUUUGUAGAGAGAAAAAGUGGGAUACAAUCACCAAGAGAUAUCAACCUAAUCGAAAUAACAGAUUACCAACCACAAGUAGAUUUGCAAGAGGCCGGCGAACUGACGGAGAAAAAGACACCGGAAAAA
Molecule: non-coding RNA, 1026 nt
Organism: Erythranthe guttata (spotted monkey flower)
Lineage: Eukaryota; Viridiplantae; Streptophyta; Magnoliopsida; Lamiales; Phrymaceae
Source: RefSeq, a predicted model, not a curated record